RNAcentral lists this small nuclear RNA (117 nucleotides) under Coniophora puteana RWD-64-598 SS2. RNAcentral's name for it is "U5 spliceosomal RNA". It matches the Rfam family "U5 spliceosomal RNA". From Rfam's summary of the family: U5 RNA is a component of both types of known spliceosome. The precise function of this molecule is unknown, though it is known that the 5' loop is required for splice site selection and p220 binding, and that both the 3' stem-loop and the Sm site are important for Sm protein binding and cap methylation. Lineage: Eukaryota; Fungi; Basidiomycota; Agaricomycetes; Boletales; Coniophoraceae. The record is from Rfam by way of RNAcentral.
AGCAGCUGGGGAUGCAACAACAAUUUAAGCCCUCGCCUUUUACUAGGGCUUACCGUGUAGUGUCCCCGCUUUAAAGCUGCUAUACAAUCUUUGGAAUAAUUGAGAUCGUUCAGAUGU